RNAcentral lists this long non-coding RNA (935 nucleotides) under Macaca mulatta (Rhesus monkey). Its description in RNAcentral is "lncRNA (ENSMMUG00000050150.1)". Lineage: Eukaryota; Metazoa; Chordata; Mammalia; Primates; Cercopithecidae. The record is from RNAcentral.
CUACAUUCUAUAACGCAUUAUGAAGAUGCACUAGAAUAAAAUCUUUUUAUCUUUGAAUAUCUUUACAGAGGCAAUUAUAGUUGCUAAUAUAGAAUCACAUAAUUAUGAAUGACUAUCAAAAUCUUUCAAAUUGACAUAGUAGGUACUGUAGUAGCUCAAUAUCCUGCAGACAUUUUGUACAGAAGAGAUUUCUGCAGGGAGUAAAGGCAGUAUUGCUAUGUGUAUGCUGUAAAUACCUUAAAAACCACAAUGUACUCAGCUUAUGUAAGGAUCUUUUUAAAUUUCAGGAUUAACUUCCCAUCUGAAACAGAAACAUUUAUCAAACAUGAAAAGAAAUCAAAUAUUUUAAGGUGUUCUUGUCCUUUGACCACAACAUUUCCAAGGGCUUGGAGAGACCAGAAUAUAACUGUUUUUUUAUGCAGAAUGACCCUGUUUUAUUCUAAAAAGACUUGAUAGGUUGAAGAAACAGCAUUGAGCUUGCAUCACAUGUUAUUGGAAACUGAAAACAUUUAAUAAUUUGCAUCUCUAAAAUAGUCAGCAAAACUCUAAAUAAGGUCACCCCAGGUAAAACAUGUCAAAAAAGUGUAUAUAAUUUGCUGAGUAGCAAUACUUUUAGAUAUAUCUAGUAGUCUCUAUCUGACAAUAUGUGCUGCAACAGCUACAGGAUGGAAACUGCUUUUGUAUCCAAUUUAAAAGCAGGAAUGUUCUCCUUUUUACCCUAGAGCUUAAAGGCCAUUUAUAGAAGUAGGCCAAUAUGAAGUAUUGCCACAAUAAACUGUUGUUUUACUUCCUUUUUGUCGCAAAAAUUAGGGAAAAAACUGCAAUGCUGUUGAGUCAUAAAAUAUGUUAGCAAUAAAACAAAUGUAAGUUAUCAAGUUUAUUUAAUUUCUACUGUUACAGUCAUUACUCAGGCAUCUCUUUACAGACUUUCAUAU